This is a long non-coding RNA of Sciurus carolinensis (gray squirrel), 1486 nucleotides long. RefSeq lists it as uncharacterized. The transcript has 4 exons. NCBI's taxonomy places the organism in Eukaryota, Metazoa, Chordata, Mammalia, Rodentia, Sciuridae. The record is from RefSeq and is a predicted model, not a curated record.
CCGAGCGCCGGCUCCUCCCCGCCUCCCAGUCCCCGUCCCCCUCCCUCCCCUCUGCUUUCCUGCCCAGCCCGCCUCCCGGCCGCUCCCUCCGGCCCCGGGGCUCCCACCGCUCCUGGCGGCGGGCGCCCACGCAGGUGGGGACCGACCCGGGUCCCGCCCCCGGCCGCCGCCGCCCCCUGCGCUGUGCGCCCGGCCGCCAGCCGGCCCCUUUCCCUUUCUUGCCUUUCCUCCUCCGCCCCGCUCCCGCGCCCCGGCUCUCCGCGACCCCCUCCUCUCCCUGCCUUCCCCGCUUCCUCUCCCUCUCCUCUCUUCCUAACCCCGUCCCCCCACUUUCUCCCUUUUCUCCUUGUCCUUUCUCCCCAACUCCCCUCCCCUCUUCUCUUCCUCCCACCCACCCCUCUGGCGGCCGCACAGCCCAGUUCCCGCCCGUGCAAUGGGUUUUGUUUGGUGGCUUUUGGGCUGGGGCGCCAUUCCCGCAGGGCGAGCGUGCCCCCUGGAGUUGUGCCACGCAGCGGCCCAGCUUCAAGUCCUCAAGGGUGGAUUCUGACCCCUGCCAACCUCCACCUGUCCACCUGCAGGGCUGGGCCGCCCUCCUGCUCGCACGCUUUCCGCCCGGGCUGUGCCCCACCCUGCCGGCUGAUUGGUGCCACGUUCUGGAUGUUUCCCGAGGGUUUUGUGCGGUGCUGCCGCCGCUGCCGCCGCGCUCUUUGUUUUAAUUGUCCAGAGUAUUGGCGCCCGGAGCGGGUCAUCUAUAAGCUGUGGCCCUUCGUGAAGUCCCUGGCCUCCAGGCCACAAUACAGACUAUAUACUUCAUGCAUGUGCAAUGAAGAUUGUCAGCGGGUUCAGGAGAAGGGGCCUUGGCACCGCAGUAUUCCUGAGGUUUCCACCUGUUUUCCUGGGUCUUUCUCCUGAGUUUUUCUGCUCCCUCAUUGCACCCAGACUCCCUUGGUCUUCAGAGAACUGAAUGGUUCCCUCGGGUUGUUUGUAAUCAGGAUUCAUGGAAUUGCAGUUGUCAAAGCUUUUGUGGGCUUUAAGCCUUUGCAUUUACUCAAGCUUAGUCCACGCAGAGGAGCCCUGCAGGGGGCUGGCUAUAUUUAACCGGGUACUGUAUUCCCAGUCGCUCACUUAUUUAUCUUCGAUUGCUCCCCUGCUGCACUUUGGGCACCACCCAGCACCCGGAGAAUUCAGAAGUAGGCAGGACCAUCCACUCUGCCAAGAGCAACAGGCAUGCAGAAAACUGGCCCCAAGGCACUGGAGUCCUCUAAAAGAAGCCAGCCGCUGUUCGUGAGCUGCGACUGCCGUCGUGGUGGAAGAAAGCCUGAGCACCAUAUGGUAUGAGUGAGAGAUACUUUGCCAGCCUCCAGUCUCCAGCCUCCAGCAUCACGGCAAACCAUCAUAAUGCUGGAGAGUCCCCAAGCCAGAACUGCUCAGUUGAGUCCUACUAACUCCACGAACCAUGAAAGAUAAUAAUAAAUUGUUGUUUUGA